GCAAAACAGAACAAUCUCCUCUCCGAAUUCAAUCAUCCCUCCGCCGCACCACUCUUCCUCCGCCUCUGCUCCGCUUCUGCACUCAGCGUCCUCCGGUUGCUGACGGAUCCCUCUUCGCCGCCGCCGCCGCGGACCCACCGUGGGAGAGGAGGCGAUGCGAGGCGAGGAGGCGGGAGCGAUGGAGGCCGCCGACUACGGGAAGCUCUUCGUCGGCGGCAUCUCAUGGGAGACGAGCGAGGACCGCCUCCGCGAGUACUUCGGCCGCUUCGGCGAGGUCACCGAGGCUGCCAUCAUGCGGGACCGCAGCACGGGGCGUGCCCGCGGGUUCGGGUUCGUGGUCUUCACCGACGCAGCGGUCGCCGAGCGCGUCACCAUGGAGAAACAUAUGAUCGACGGACGAAUGGUGGAAGCAAAGAAGGCUGUUCCCAGAGACGACCACAGUAUUGUGAGCAAGAGCAAUGGCAGAAGCACAGGGUCACCUGGACCGGGACGCACUAGGAAGAUCUUUGUUGGAGGCCUGCCCUCGAGCAUCACGGAGGCUGACUUCAGGAGGUAUUUUGAGCAGUUCGGUGUCAUAACUGAUGUGGUUGUGAUGUAUGAUCACAACACGCAGAGACCGAGGGGCUUUGGAUUCAUCACCUAUGAUUCAUCACCUAUGUACCUGGGUCAUUAUGACCCUUUAUUUUCCCUCUACUUUAAUAUAUGGGUGCGCAGUCCUCCUGCGCUCUUUCGAGAAAAAAAAAAGCCCUGCACAAGAGCUUUCAUGAGCUAAAUGGUAAAAUGGUUGAGGUCAAGAAGGCUGUUCCAAAGGAGCAGUCUCCUGGACCUGUUGCACGCUCACCCGUGGGAGUGGGGCAGAACUAUGCUGCGAACAGGGUUCAUAGCUUCCUCAAUGGCUUCAACCAGGGUUACAAUCCAAUCCCCAUGGGAGGUUACGGCAUGAGGGUGGAUGGAAGGUAUGGCUUCCUUUCAGGUGCACGAAAUGGGUUCUCUUCUUUUGGCCCAGGGUAUGGGAUGGGUAUGAAUGUUGAAGGUGGGAUGAGCGGAACAUUUGGUGCAACCUCUGGUUUCAUCAGCAACUCCAACGGGAGGCAAAUGGGUUCGUACUUCAAUGCAAGUUCGAACAGAUUGGGUAGCCCUAUUGGGUACCUUGGUCUUAAUGAUGUUCCUGGGUCAAUGUUGGGUUCCAUGUCUAGGAAUGUUUGGGGUAAUGGGAGUCUAAACUAUCCGAGCAAUCCUGCAAACAUGAGUGCUUUUGCUUCACCAGGAAAUGGGGGCCAAGUCAGUCUUACAGGUGACAAUUGGGGAGGUCUUCCUUCUGCUCAUGGGAUAGGCAACAUUUCAGGCCUUGGAUCAGGGAACCUUGGUCGUGGAGCUGGAGAUAAUAACUUUGGUUUGCCUUCUGGCAGCUAUGGAAGAAGCAACUCAACUGGUACAAUUGGUGAGCCUUUUUCUGCAGCAGGCAAUACAUAUGAUGUAAACAAUGCAGAUACAUAUGGGAGCAGCUCUGUUUAUGGUGGCACAGUCUGGAGGUUCACAUCAUCUGAGGUUGACAUGCAUUCUUUUGGUCAUGAUAUUGGAAAUGUUGGUCCGACAAUCAAAUGAGACAUGUCAGCAAGUCACAUGGGCAACUACCCUGUUAACAACAAUCAGCCAAGCAGAGGAUAUUUGACUGGAAAUGGACUUUUGGCGACAUGAUUAUCAGAGUGCUCGUGCAGAAUGCUACCUGCCAGUCAUGGCCAGUUGACGCUCACGGAGGGGUGCUCCAGGACGAACGGUAAUUCAAUUUUGACGUGGGACCUUGGCCGCCAGCAAUCUACAACAGUUGCUGGAACCACCGAGCUUGCCUUCUACAGCGGGUGGUUUCUCACUGCACAUCGGCUUGUGUCUGUGUGAUUAGCCCCCUCUUGAUUUUGGAUCACCCUCUGCCACUGCUGCCAGUCCCUGCAACCUAAGGAGCCCCUGCAGCUUUGAAUGAUGAUGAACAAUUCUAGUAUGGACACCGGCAUUGUCUCUUGACGCUCUUCCAUCUGCCUCAAUAUUUGUAUUGAUAUAGUUCUCAACUUCUCAUGCCAAAUUUGUUCAAAAUUAAAAAAGGCAGUCCCAUUGUUGGAGACUCUCACAUGAGUGAAGUUUGGGGAAGGGAUAAACCGAGGCAAUCCUUCUCCCUACAAAUGUAGAGAGGCUGCUUCGAAUCUGCGACCUAGUGACUCAGUGAGACAGUUCUCAUAACUGCACAAGGCCUGCCAAAGUCAUUCAACAUUGUGCUGGGUAAAUCAAGGACAUUAGGAAGCACACUGGACAGGAAUUUCUCGUGGCCAACUGGUUCCUACCGAGAGUGGAAUUUUGCUACAAUCAGUUUUGCAGCAUUGUCCUGUAGUUGAGUGUUCAGUACACUGUUGGAAAUGUGUAGUGCUGUACCUGAAUUGUUAGGUAGUGUAUUAAUGUAAAACAGAUUAAAAGAUUGUGGAAAAGAGGGAUAUACCAUCAGAUUUUCUU
Molecule: RNA transcript, 2499 nt
Organism: Zea mays
Lineage: Eukaryota; Viridiplantae; Streptophyta; Magnoliopsida; Poales; Poaceae
Gene name: heterogeneous nuclear ribonucleoprotein pseudogene
Exons: 5
Source: RefSeq, marked validated